UCCAGUCAGCAUACAAAGUAGUGCUUUCGUA
RNAcentral lists this non-coding RNA (31 nucleotides) under Rattus norvegicus (Norway rat). The record is from RNAcentral. Lineage: Eukaryota; Metazoa; Chordata; Mammalia; Rodentia; Muridae.